GCCCCACCUGACCCCAUGCCGAACUCAGAAGUGAAACGCCGUAGCGCCGAUGGUAGUGUGGGGUCUCCCCAUGCGAGAGUAGGGAACUGCCAGGC
RNAcentral lists this ribosomal RNA (95 nucleotides) under Salmonella enterica subsp. enterica serovar Typhimurium. RNAcentral also lists the same sequence under 1 other name. The record is from RNAcentral. Lineage: Bacteria; Pseudomonadati; Pseudomonadota; Gammaproteobacteria; Enterobacterales; Enterobacteriaceae.